GACGCGGCAUCCGCAGACUCGUCUCCCGUUCUGCAGUCCACCGACGCGCCGUGACAGCCCACGCCAUGCCUCCUCCACUACCUUUGUUUGUUAUUUAGCUCUUCGGAAUCUUCGAUCAAACCUCCUUAAUUAGCGAUUACUGUUUUCUGUUCUUCGUUGUUGCUGUUCCUUCCGGCCCCAGCCGCGUCAGGGCGAGUCUCCAUCCACCAUCACCUCGAUGGCUACGGCGAUGCCGAUCGCUGGCUAAUUGAUGAACGCCCUCGAGAAGUCCGUCAUCGCCUGCCCCUCCAUGGCUCUUCCCUUCAUCUUUGCCUUCCUCUUCCUCCUCUCGGGGGAUUUCAGGGCGGCGGCGACAGCGGCCGAGUGCGAGGGCCGCUGGAUCUACAUCCGCGAGCUGCCGAGCAGGUUCAACACCGACCUUCUCGCUACUUGCGACGACUUCCCCCUCCUCUUCGAGCUCCGGGAGCAGCAGGAGAAGAGCCUCCUCCCCUUCAUCGCCAACCAUGGAUUGGGGCCUCGCACCCACAACCGCUCCCACUCCUGGUACCGCACCGAUCCCCUCUUCAUGGAGCUCCUUUUCCACCGCCGCAUGCUUGAGUACCCCUGCCUCGUCGCUGACCCUGCCGCCGCCGAUGCCGUCUUUCUCCCCUACUAUGCGGCCAUUGCGGCCCUCCCCUUCCUCUAUUCCCCCGACCAAUGGAACUCCUCCGCCCUCCAUGGCCGCGACCUCGCCGAUUGGCUCCGCCGCGACCGCCCGGGGAUCUGGUCUCGCCGCGCCGGCCAUGACCACUUCCUCGCCGUGGCCGGCGCCGCCUGGGACUUCGACAACGACCCUGCCCAAACCACGGUGUGGGGCACCGCCUUCCUCGGCCUCCCCGAGUGCUACAACCUCUCUGCUCUAACACUCGAGUCGCGUGCCUGGCCUCUUCAGGAGCACGCCGUCCCGCCCCCGACCUCCUUCCACCCCGCCACCCUCGGCCGCUUCAAUGCCUGGCUCGCCCGCGCGCGCCGCUCUCGUCGCCCCGCACUCAUGCUCUUCGCAGGCGGGGCUGCCUCCAGCAGCGGUCGGCCCAACAUCGCCUCGAGCAUCCGCGCCGAGUGUGAGCUCCGCCGCGACCUCUGCGACAUCGUCGACUGCUCCAGGGGCGCCUGCGCCCACGAUCCCGGUCGCUUCAUGCGCCCCAUGAUCCGGGCCCGGUUCUGCCUCCAUCCGCCGGGCGACACUCCGACGCGCCGGUCCACCUUCGACGGCAUCCUCGCCGGGUGCAUCCCGGUGUUCUUCGAGGAGGCGUCGGCAGCGAGGCAGUUCGGAUGGCACCUCCCACGCCGCCGGUACAGUGACUUCUCCGUGCUAAUACCCAAGGAGGAGGUGGUAUUCAGGGGUCGGCGGAUCGCUGACGUGUUGGAAGCGAUACCCCGGGCGCGGGUGCGGCGGAUGAGGAAUGCGGUACUGGAGCUGGCGCCGGCCGUGAUGUACCGCCGGCACGGGAGCUCCACUGCGCUGCGGGCGCGGAAGGACGCGUUCGAUCUGGCCAUCGAGGGGGUCCUGCGGCGCAUCCGAAGGCGGGUGCAAGCGAUGGAGCAGGGGACGAACCCGCUCGUCCUGGUCGGUGAGGACGAGGAAGAGCAGCAUCAGCAGCAUCUGCAGCCGUCUGAUAGCUGAUCGAACGGUCCAGAUACGUCUCUUUUCUAUAUUUUGGAAUUUUUGGUUUUUUGACCAAAACGAAUUGAAUUCGGAUUUCAACUACUUGAACAAAAAAGUGAUUUCUGAAUAGGAGUGAUUGAAACCAUUUUUUACAGUGAUUUUUAUUUUUUUCCUUUUAAAAAAAAUUGAAAGACAUUUUCAUUACCUCAAAUGCACUAACCAACUGAAAUUUAUUUAAUUAUUUUUAAAAUUACUAUAUAGAGAGAAAAAAAAAUGGUGAUUUUAAUUAUUUUUAAUGAUAUUUUUAACUUAAUUUUUUAUAAAAAAAAUAUAAUUUCAUUUCGAGUUAGUGAAAUUUACAGUAAUAUUGAUGAAAUAUAACGACACCCAUUUGGGGUGAAAAACCUCAAUUUACUGACACGUCAACCUUUACCUACCAAUCAUGUCGUACAUUAGAGUUAGUUAUAUAAAAGAGUGUGGAGUUAAUUUGGAUAACUAAAAGAUAACAUGUCGUUAGCUAAGUCAAUAUAUGCCACUUGUGAAGUCCAUAAGAAGUGGCAUUAUCUUUUACAGCGUUUAAGAAUGGUGAGGUCCAUUUAACACAGUCUCUUUCGAUGCCUUAAAGAAGGAAUGAGCAGUCCCAAUCUGUUUUAGUGCCUCAAAACUAUCCACUGUUUUGGAUGAAUCCUUUGUUGCUCUUCAAAGAUAUCAACUUCAAUUUCCUUUGUAACGUUUAUAAAAGGUUGAAAUUGGUUUAUAAAAGGGUUGGCUAUCCCUAAUUUAAUGAAUUAAUCACCUGAUUGAGUUAAGUAUUAAGUAUGGCAUGGUGUUCGAUUUGAAAGGAAUUAUAUACAUAUAAGAUCAAAGUACAUUGAUGUAUUCUGGGUCUCAUGCUAUAAGGAAGAUGUGAAGUUAAGGUGCAUUUUGGAUCCUUGUAUUUUAUGUAACAUAUCACCAUCUAACAUGAUGAGAUAUUGACACAUAAUUUGAUGAGUCCGAAUCAUAGAUCUAAAAUGCAUACACUCAAGUUAAUAAUAUUCUAUCUAUCGAACCCUCAUAAUUUAAUUCAAUUAUUAUCCCACUUUUACAUACUUGGGGCCUGUUGCUAGCCAUCUCAUUAUCAUCUUCUAUCCUUUUUCUUUUAUGCAUGACAAAAAAUAUUCUUUCAGAAAUAACAGAAAGCUGAUGUUGUUCCUUUACACCGUAGCAGAGGGAGUCAACACGGCUUGGUUCAAUCCCGGGUGCAUAAGAUCAUCCACGUUGGCGCUCGGGCAGCGGGGAUCGUCGUUCGGUGAGGUUGGGCUCUAACUUCUAGGGGACCGAUCGUACCUGCUAUAUUCAUGAUCAUCGACCCAUCGGGCGGCCAGCUUACUUUUGGAGCCUAUGUGGGGUGUUCUCCAUGCCAUGGUGUUGGACGACGAUGUCGUGCUCGGUGUCGUCCCGACCUUCACGAGAUGGCUCGGUACUUGGUCGACGUUGUCCCAAUCUUUGCGGGAUGGCGCUGUACUUGGGCAAUAUCGUUCCAACUUUCGCGGGGCAGCAUUGUACUCGGUCGGCGCCUUUCCGAUCUUCGCGGGAUGACGCUGUACUUGGGCGGUGUCGUUCUGACUUUCGCGGGAUAGCACCGUACUUGGUCGACGUCAUCCUGAUCUUCGCGGGACGGCGCUAUAUUUGGGUGGUGUAGUUUAUUAUGCUGACCUGGAUGUUGUCGGCUGUGUUCAGUGGUUGGAGGGCAAGUUACCAAAAUGUGCCCUAUCAGCCUACAUAUACUCUUCAACUAGAAUGAUGAUUGUUUGUGUUGCUUGA
Molecule: RNA transcript, 3451 nt
Organism: Musa acuminata AAA Group (dessert banana)
Lineage: Eukaryota; Viridiplantae; Streptophyta; Magnoliopsida; Zingiberales; Musaceae
Gene name: probable xyloglucan galactosyltransferase GT19
Exons: 2
Source: RefSeq, a predicted model, not a curated record